Molecule: ribosomal RNA, 330 nt
Filed under: Triticum aestivum (bread wheat)
Lineage: Eukaryota; Viridiplantae; Streptophyta; Magnoliopsida; Poales; Poaceae
Description: partial small subunit ribosomal RNA
Source: RNAcentral
UCGGCGGCAUCCGAAUACAAGGCACAAUUUUUAGGGAUGGUUCUCUCACCCAUGGAUAAAAUGAUAUGGAAGGCUUGGGCUCCUCCAAAGAUCAAGUUCUUUGAUUGGUUGGCUCUACAAGAUAGAGUUUGGACCGCCGAUAGAUUGGCGAAACGUGGGUGGCCCAACUGUGGUCUUUGCCCUCUCUGUAAGAGAGUGCAAGAAUGUGAGUCUCAUCUCUUCUUCAAAUGCCGCUACACUCGAAGGCUUUGGUCUUUGAUCAUUGACAGGUACCACAUUAUCGGACUUGACGUCUCCGGUUGGCCCUUGUUCGACUCGGUUGAGGCUUGA